Camelina sativa (false flax) is the source of this 520-nucleotide non-coding RNA. Lineage: Eukaryota; Viridiplantae; Streptophyta; Magnoliopsida; Brassicales; Brassicaceae. The record is from RefSeq and is a predicted model, not a curated record.
UAGGUUUUGGUUAUUCUUUUGAAUGUGUUUCUUGCAGUUUAAAACUGUUUUGGUUUACUAUCAUGUUGUGUUGUCUUAAUCCGACAAGGUGAGGCGCUGAGAUGAAUAGAUUGAUGCUUGGUGAUGCUAUGCUUGAUGAUGCUUGGUGCUGCUAUUCAGAGGACCGAGAGAUUAAUGUUUUCGAUGAUGCUUUUAACAAUCAGUAAUUGGCUUCUCUUGUGUUAGUUGAUCUUGUGUAUGUGGUUUGGUGUUUGUAAUCGGCUUCAGCUUUAUUAAAGUUUGGCCAUGUUUAUAAAGCAAGAGAGAAACGGGUUUACGUUCUGCUAUUCCCGUGAACCUUGUGAUCUCACGUCGGCACAAGAGAAUGAAACUGGUUUGUGGUUCUGCUCUUCCCGUGAACCUGCAGCUGUCACGUCGGCACAAGAGAACAUAAGUCUUUGUGUUUUUCCUUCCCGUGAACAUGCAGCUGUGUUUUUCUUUCCACAAUUGUUGUUCAAUAAACUUGUAUAUAUAGCAAACU